Molecule: ribosomal RNA, 1372 nt
Filed under: uncultured bacterium
Lineage: Bacteria
Description: bacterial SSU rRNA
Rfam family: Bacterial small subunit ribosomal RNA
Source: RNAcentral
GAUGAACGCUGGCGGCGUGCCUAAUACAUGCAAGUCGAGCGAACGGACGAGAAGCUUGCUUCUCUGAUGUUAGCGGCGGACGGGUGAGUAACACGUGGAUAACCUACCUAUAAGACUGGGAUAACUUCGGGAAACCGGAGCUAAUACCGGAUAAUAUUUUGAACCGCAUGGUUCAAAAGUGAAAGACGGUCUUGCUGUCACUUAUAGAUGGAUCCGCGCUGCAUUAGCUAGUUGGUAAGGUAACGGCUUACCAAGGCAACGAUGCAUAGCCGACCUGAGAGGGUGAUCGGCCACACUGGAACUGAGACACGGUCCAGACUCCUACGGGAGGCAGCAGUAGGGAAUCUUCCGCAAUGGGCGAAAGCCUGACGGAGCAACGCCGCGUGAGUGAUGAAGGUCUUCGGAUCGUAAAACUCUGUUAUUAGGGAAGAACAUAUGUGUAAGUAACUGUGCACAUCUUGACGGUACCUAAUCAGAAAGCCACGGCUAACUACGUGCCAGCAGCCGCGGUAAUACGUAGGUGGCAAGCGUUAUCCGGAAUUAUUGGGCGUAAAGCGCGCGUAGGCGGUUUUUUAAGUCUGAUGUGAAAGCCCACGGCUCAACCGUGGAGGGUCAUUGGAAACUGGAAAACUUGAGUGCAGAAGAGGAAUGUGGAAUUCCAUGUGUAGCGGUGAAAUGCGCAGAGAUAUGGAGGAACACCAGUGGCGAAGGCGACUUUCUGGUCUGUAACUGACGCUGAUGUGCGAAAGCGUGGGGAUCAAACAGGAUUAGAUACCCUGGUAGUCCACGCCGUAAACGAUGAGUGCUAAGUGUUAGGGGGUUUCCGCCCCUUAGUGCUGCAGCUAACGCAUUAAGCACUCCGCCUGGGGAGUACGACCGCAAGGUUGAAACUCAAAGGAAUUGACGGGGACCCGCACAAGCGGUGGAGCAUGUGGUUUAAUUCGAAGCAACGCGAAGAACCUUACCAAAUCUUGACAUCCUUUGACAACUCUAGAGAUAGAGCCUUCCCCUUCGGGGGACAAAGUGACAGGUGGUGCAUGGUUGUCGUCAGCUCGUGCCGUGAGAUGUUGGGUUAAGUCCCGCAACGAGCGCAACCCUUAAGCUUAGUUGCCAUCAUUAAGUUGGGCACUCUAAGUUGACUGCCGGUGACAAACCGGAGGAAGGUGGGGAUGACGUCAAAUCAUCAUGCCCCUUAUGAUUUGGGCUACACACGUGCUACAAUGGACAAUACAAAGGGCAGCGAAACCGCGAGGUCAAGCAAAUCCCAUAAAGUUGUUCUCAGUUCGGAUUGUAGUCUGCAACUCGACUACAUGAAGCUGGAAUCGCUAGUAAUCGUAGAUCAGCAUGCUACGGUGAAUACGUUCCCGGGUCU